Molecule: ribosomal RNA, 403 nt
Filed under: uncultured bacterium
Lineage: Bacteria
Description: partial 16S ribosomal RNA
Rfam family: Bacterial small subunit ribosomal RNA
Source: RNAcentral
AUUGAACGCUGGCGGCAGGCCUAACACAUGCAAGUCGAGCGAGCGGCGGACGGGUGAGUAAUAUCUGGGGACUGCCCGAUAGAGGGGGAUAACUACUGGAAACGGUGGCUAAUACCGCAUACUAUCGGAUAACCCAUAGGGGAUUAGCUAGUAGGUGAGGUAAAGGCUCACCUAGUCGACGAUCUCUAGCUGGUCUGAGAGGGUGAUGAGCCACACUGGGACUGAGACACGGCCCAGACUCCUUCGGAGGCAGCAGUGGGGAAUAUUGCGCAAUGGGCGCAUGCCUGAUGCAGCCAUGCCUCGUGUAUGAAGAAGUCCUUAGGGUUGUAAAGUACUUUCAGCGGGGAGGCGUUACCCGCAGAAGAAGCACCGGCUAACUCCGUGCCAGCAGCCGCGGUAAUUC